GUCCCUGUAGCGCAAUGGAUAGCGCGUUGGACUUCUAAUCCAAAGGUUGUGAGUUCGUAUCCCAUUUGGGAUG
Molecule: transfer RNA, 73 nt
Filed under: Trichonephila clavata
Lineage: Eukaryota; Metazoa; Arthropoda; Arachnida; Araneae; Nephilidae
Rfam family: tRNA
About the family: Transfer RNA (tRNA) molecules are approximately 80 nucleotides in length. Their secondary structure includes four short double-helical elements and three loops (D, anti-codon, and T loops).
Source: Rfam by way of RNAcentral